Molecule: small nucleolar RNA, 75 nt
Filed under: Pteropus alecto (black flying fox)
Lineage: Eukaryota; Metazoa; Chordata; Mammalia; Chiroptera; Pteropodidae
Description: Small nucleolar RNA U3
Rfam family: Small nucleolar RNA U3
About the family: Small nucleolar RNAs (snoRNAs) are involved in the processing and modification of rRNA in the nucleolus.
Source: Rfam by way of RNAcentral
AAGACUAUACUUUCAGGGAUCAUUUCUAUAAUUUGUUACUAGAGAAGUUUCUCUGAAUGUGUAGAGCAUGGCACG